This 413-nucleotide long non-coding RNA is filed under the name Elaeis guineensis (African oil palm). RNAcentral's name for it is "long non-coding RNA (EGUI_LNC019340)". The record is from RNAcentral. Lineage: Eukaryota; Viridiplantae; Streptophyta; Magnoliopsida; Arecales; Arecaceae.
UUUCUAAAUCUAAGAUAAGAUAUCUUCGCUAGACGUAUUUCUGUUGACCUUCUAGUCGGCAUUAUUUCAGCUACGAUGAAAGCGCAUACGAAGUCGCGUCAAAAUCUCCUUAAUGAAUAUGUAGGCCAUUAACGAACGGUAUGACGUAAUAUGCACUUGCUGCUCUUUCCCCCAAACACACACAAAAUGAACCCACAGAUCUAAAGCGGCUAUUACGUGAUCAACGGUGGAUGUUUUUUGCAAACUAAAGAUACAACUCCUGUCCAGCGCUGAAUGCCCGAUAUGGUCCCACAAAUUAUUCCUUACCAUAGCAUUGUGACGCCAUCUUUUGCACGUAAAGUACGGAAAAAUUAUUUCCUACGCUGCAUUAACAUGCAUGCCACCGAUCACAACCAUUUUUUUUAUAGGUCUCC